UACGUAGGCAGCAAGCGUUGUUCGGAAUUAUUGGGCGUAAAGGGCGCGUAGGCGGUGCGGUAAGUCACCUGUGAAAACUCCCGGCUCAACUGGGAGCCUGCAGGCGAAACUGCCGUGCUGGAGUGUGGGAGAGGUGCGUGGAAUUCCCGGUGUAGCGGUGAAAUGCGUAGAUAUCAGGAGGAACACCGGUGGUGUAGACGGCUUUCUGGACCAUAACUGACGCUGAAACACGAAAGCGUGGGUAGCAAACAGG
RNAcentral lists this ribosomal RNA (253 nucleotides) under uncultured prokaryote. RNAcentral's name for it is "partial 16S ribosomal RNA". It matches the Rfam family "Bacterial small subunit ribosomal RNA", at positions 524 to 776 of the family's 1533-position model. The record is from RNAcentral.